CCUACGGGAGGCUGCAGUGGGGAAUAUUGCACAAUGGGCGCAAGCCUGAUGCAGCCAUGCCGCGUGUGUGAAGAAGGCCUUCGGGUUGUAAAGCACUUUCAGCGGGGAGGAAGGCGGUGAGGUUAAUAACCUCAUCGAUUGACGUUACCCGCAGAAGAAGCACCGGCUAACUCCGUGCCAGCAGCCGCGGUAAUACGGAGGGUGCAAGCGUUAAUCGGAAUUACUGGGCGUAAAGCGCACGCAGGCGGUCUGUCAAGCCGGAUGUGAAAUCCCCGGGCUCAACCUGGGAACUGCAUUCGAAACUGGCAGGCUAGAGUCUUGUAGAGGGGGGUAGAAUUCCAGGUGUAGCGGUGAAAUGCGUAGAGAUCUGGAGGAAUACCGGUGGCGAAGGCGGCCCCCUGGACAAAGACUGACGCUCAGGUGCGAAAGCGUGGGGAGCAAACAGGAUUAGAUACCCGGGUAGUC
This 465-nucleotide ribosomal RNA is filed under the name uncultured Klebsiella sp. Its description in RNAcentral is "bacterial SSU rRNA". It matches the Rfam family "Bacterial small subunit ribosomal RNA", at positions 338 to 795 of the family's 1533-position model. The record is from RNAcentral. Lineage: Bacteria; Pseudomonadati; Pseudomonadota; Gammaproteobacteria; Enterobacterales; Enterobacteriaceae.